RNAcentral lists this ribosomal RNA (253 nucleotides) under uncultured prokaryote. RNAcentral's name for it is "partial 16S ribosomal RNA". It matches the Rfam family "Bacterial small subunit ribosomal RNA", at positions 524 to 776 of the family's 1533-position model. The record is from RNAcentral.
UACGAGGGAUCCUAGCGUUGUUCGGAAUCAUUGGGCGUAAAGGGUGUGUAGGCGGCCUUGUAAGUCAGUUGUGAAAGCCCCGGGCUCAACCCGGGAAGUGCUUCUGAUACUGCUUGGCUUGAGUAUUGGAGAGGUGAGUGGAAUUCCAGGUGUAGUGGUGAAAUACGUAGAUAUCUGGAGGAACACCGGCGGCGAAGGCGGCUCACUGGCCAUAUACUGACGCUGAAACACGAAAGCGUGGGGAUCAAACAGG